GCCAUGAUAGUAUAGUGGUAGUACAUUGCGUUGUGGCCGCACCGACCCUGGUUCGAUUCCAGGUCAUGGCA
This is a non-coding RNA of Polychytrium aggregatum, 71 nucleotides long. Lineage: Eukaryota; Fungi; Chytridiomycota; Chytridiomycetes; Polychytriales. The record is from the annotation of a RefSeq genome assembly.